Molecule: ribosomal RNA, 442 nt
Filed under: Mycobacterium sp.
Lineage: Bacteria; Bacillati; Actinomycetota; Actinomycetes; Mycobacteriales; Mycobacteriaceae
Description: bacterial SSU rRNA
Rfam family: Bacterial small subunit ribosomal RNA
Source: RNAcentral
UGAUGCAGCGACGCCGCGUGAGGGACGACGGCCUUCGGGUUGUAAACCUCUUUCAGCACAGACGAAGCGCAAGUGACGGUAUGUGCAGAAGAAGCACCGGCCAACUACGUGCCAGCAGCCGCGGUAAUACGUAGGGUGCGAGCGUUGUCCGGAAUUACUGGGCGUAAAGAGCUCGUAGGUGGUUUGUCGCGUUGUUCGUGAAAACUCACAGCUCAACUGUGGGCGUGCGGGCGAUACGGGCAGACUAGAGUACUGCAGGGGAGACUGGAAUUCCUGGUGUAGCGGUGGAAUGCGCAGAUAUCAGGAGGAACACCGGUGGCGAAGGCGGGUCUCUGGGCAGUAACUGACGCUGAGGAGCGAAAGCGUGGGGAGCGAACAGGAUUAGAUACCCUGGUAGUCCACGCCGUAAACGGUGGGUACUAGGUGUGGGUUUCCUUCCUUG